RNAcentral lists this ribosomal RNA (465 nucleotides) under uncultured bacterium. RNAcentral describes it as "partial 16S ribosomal RNA". It matches the Rfam family "Bacterial small subunit ribosomal RNA", at positions 339 to 795 of the family's 1533-position model. The record is from RNAcentral.
CUACGGGUGGCUGCAGUGGGGAAUAUUGGACAAUGGGGGCAACCCUGAUCCAGCCAUGCCGCGUGUGUGAAGAAGGCCUUUUGGUUGUAAAGCACUUUAAGCAGGGAGGAGAGGCUAAUGGUUAAUACCCAUUAGAUUAGACGUUACCUGCAGAAUAAGCACCGGCUAAAUCUGUGCCAGCAGCCGCGGUAAUACAGAGGGUGCGAGCGUUAAUCGGAAUUACUGGGCGUAAAGCGAGUGUAGGUGGCUCAUUAAGUCACAUGUGAAAUCCCCGGGCUUAACCUGGGAACUGCAUGUGAUACUGGUGGUGCUAGAAUAUGUGAGAGGGAAGUAGAAUUACAGGUGUAGCGGUGAAAUGCGUAGAGAUCUGGAGGAAUACCGAUGGCGAAGGCAGCUUCCUGGCAUAAUAUUGACACUGAGAUUCGAAAGCGUGGGUAGCAAACAGGAUUAGAUACCCGCGUAGUC